This 253-nucleotide ribosomal RNA is filed under the name Cytophagaceae bacterium. RNAcentral's name for it is "partial 16S ribosomal RNA". It matches the Rfam family "Bacterial small subunit ribosomal RNA", at positions 524 to 776 of the family's 1533-position model. RNAcentral also lists the same sequence under 1 other name. Lineage: Bacteria; Pseudomonadati; Bacteroidota; Cytophagia; Cytophagales; Cytophagaceae. The record is from RNAcentral.
UACGGAGGGUGCAAGCGUUGUCCGGAUUUAUUGGGUUUAAAGGGUGCGUAGGCGGCUUUUUAAGUCAGUGGUGAAAUCCAUCAGCUCAACUGAUGAACUGCCAUUGAUACUGGGAAGCUUGAGUACAGACGAGGUAGGCGGAAUUGACAGUGUAGCGGUGAAAUGCAUAGAUAUUGUCAAGAACACCGAUUGCGAAGGCAGCUUACUAGGCUGUAACUGACGCUGAGGCACGAAAGUGCGGGGAUCAAACAGG